CAGUCGCCACGGUAAUACGAAGGGUGCAAGCGUUAAUCGGAAUUACUGGGCGUAAGGCGUGCGUAGGCGGUUUGUUAAGUCUGCUGUGAAAUCCCCGGGCUCAACCUGGGAAUGGCAGUGGAUACUGGCAAGCUAGAGUGUGUCAGAGGAUGGUGGAAUUCCCGGUGUAGCGGUGAAAUGCGUAGAGAUCGGGAGGAACAUCAGUGACGAAGGCGGCCAUCUGGGACAACACUGACGCUGAGGCACGAAAGCGUGGGGAGCAAACAGGAUUAGAUACCCCAGUAGUCCCUGUCUCUUAUAC
RNAcentral lists this ribosomal RNA (301 nucleotides) under uncultured bacterium. RNAcentral describes it as "partial 16S ribosomal RNA". It matches the Rfam family "Bacterial small subunit ribosomal RNA", at positions 509 to 807 of the family's 1533-position model. The record is from RNAcentral.